This 274-nucleotide ribosomal RNA is filed under the name uncultured bacterium. Its description in RNAcentral is "partial 16S ribosomal RNA". It matches the Rfam family "Archaeal small subunit ribosomal RNA", at positions 473 to 747 of the family's 1478-position model. The record is from RNAcentral.
AUACCAGCACCCCGAGUGGUCGGGACGAUUAUUGGGCCUAAAGCGUCCGUAGCCGGUGUAGCAAGUCCUCCGUUAAAUCCACUUGCUCAACAAGUGGGCUGCGGAGGAUACUGCUACACUAGGGGGCGGGAGAGGCGAGGGGUAUUCCACGGGUAGGGGUAAAAUCCUCUGAUCCGUGGAGGACCACCAGUGGCGAAGGCGCCUCGCCAGAACGCGCCCGACGGUGAGGGAUGAAAGCUGGGGGAGCAAACCGGAUUAGAAACCCUAGUAGUCC